UGACUAUUCCAGGUACUUCAUAAGAGUGGAAUUAUAGAGUAUUUGUCCUUUUGUGUGGACGACUAAUUUUGCUGGCAGUAUGAUAAGGAACAAUCUGAAUGACAUGUAAACAGGAGGGGGUAAAUUCCCAGCAUACCCUGAAUGAAAAGUGCAACUCGUUUCACAUAACCCAGACGUCUUUUUAACACAUCAGUACAGUCACCAUCUAAAACCAGGUGCUGUUCCCAAAGGAGAAAACACUGCCCUCCAGUGGUCUUCAGUGGAGAAAUGGAAAUAGUUUCAGGUGGAAACCAGGCUUCUUGGAAGACUUCAAACUAUGCCAAAUGGUCUGAUUUCACCAUAGAGAUUAUCUGCUGAGGAAUGCACCUGCAUUAGUAGAAGAAAACCAGGCUACAGCUCCUUAUCAUUUAGCAAGCAUUUAAAAGGUUUAUAAAGAUAGUGCAAUUAUGUAUUUAAGCUGGUUCAUCACAAGUUCUUGCCUUUCACUCCCACCCUGUGGCUUACAAUGGUAUUACAUUUAUUCUGACAUUCAAAAAUCAACAUUAAAGAACAUGUGAUAA
This is a long non-coding RNA of Carlito syrichta (Philippine tarsier), 560 nucleotides long. RefSeq lists it as uncharacterized. The transcript is spliced from 4 exons. Lineage: Eukaryota; Metazoa; Chordata; Mammalia; Primates; Tarsiidae. The record is from RefSeq and is a predicted model, not a curated record.